ACUACGGGAGGCAGCAGUGGGGAAUAUUGCACAAUGGGGGAAACCCUGAUGCAGCGACGCCGCGUGAGUGAAGAAGUAUUUCGGUAUGUAAAGCUCUAUCAGCAGGAACGAGACAAGACGGUACCUGACUAAGAAGCCCCGGCGAACUACGUGCCAGCAGCCGCGGUAAUACGUAGGGGGCAAGCGUUAUCCGGAAUCACGGGGGGUAAAGGGAGCGUAGACGGCUGAGCAAGCCUGAAGUGAAAGGCGGGGGCCCAACCCCUGGACUGCUUUGGGAACUGUACGGCUGGAGUGCAGGAGAGGUAAGUGGAAUUCCUAGUGUAGCGGUGAAAUGCGUAGAUAUUAGGAGGAACACCAGUGGCGAAGGCGGCUUACUGGACUGUAACUGACGUUGAGGCUCGAAAGCGUGGGGAGCAAACAGGAUUAGAUACCCGGGUAGUC
Molecule: ribosomal RNA, 441 nt
Filed under: uncultured bacterium
Lineage: Bacteria
Description: partial 16S ribosomal RNA
Rfam family: Bacterial small subunit ribosomal RNA
Source: RNAcentral